AUGGUUGCUAAAGCGAUCUCUGGAUCUAUUACCAGGUCCAGACAUUCGACGGGCAUCGCUUGCAUCGUUGUUGUUGCUGCUUGUGCAUCCGGUGCCACAGCCACAUCUGGUGCCACAGCCACAUCCGGUGCCACAGCCACAUCCGGUGCCACAGCCACAUCCGGUGCCACAGCCACAUCCGGUGCCACAGCCACAUCUGGUGCCACAGCCACAUCUGGUGCCACAGCCACAUCUGGUGGCAGAUCCAGAGUCGCCGCUGCAUCUUCACAUGCAGCUACAACCUCACCCGAUACCGAUUCUACAGCCGCUUCCUCUGUUAAAGGUUCUGCAGCUUCAGCUGGGACUGGAGUGACACCCAGAACCUCAUUUCCAGUUGUAGUUUCACUUGGUGGGACUGGUUCUACUGGUUCUACUGGUUCUGCAAUCUUGUGUAUCACUGAUUCUGUACCUUCAUUUGGUGAAGGUCCUGAAGUCUCCAGUGGCGUUUGUUCUGCAGGCUCAUUCAGUUCGGGUUCUGUUUCCUCAGUUGUUAUUUGCCCUGCAUCCUCUGUUGAAGAUGGUUCUAUAUCAUCACAUGGUUCUGGUCUCGAGGCCUCAUUUGACAAUACUGGUUCUAUGAUCUCACUUAAUGGUGGGUUUACAUCUUCACUUGGUUCGGGUCCUUCGGUCUCUAUUGUUGCUUGCUGUGCCUCACGAGUUGGUGCAGAUUCUGCUGUCUCAGUUGUUGUUGGACCUCUGUCCUCACUUGGGGUUGGUUCUGUGUUGUCACAUGGUACUGGUCCUGCAGAUUUACUUGAUACUGGUUCUAUGGGCUCACCUAAUGGUAGUGCUGCUUCCUCACUAGGUUCUGGUCCUUUGCAGUCAAUUGAUGCUUGUUCUGUAUCACGAUUCGGAGACGGUUCCAUUGACUCAAUUGUUGGUCCUCUGUCCUCGCUUGGAGCUGGGUCGGUCUUGUCACUUGAUUCUGGUCCAACAGCCUCAUUUGGUACUGGUCCUGCAGACUCACUGGAUGCCGUUUCUGUGGUUUCACUUACUGGUAGUCCUGCUUCAUCACUUGGUCCAGAUUCUGUCUGUAUAAUUGGUGCUUGUUCUGGAUUAUCACCUGGUACUGGUUCUGUGGGCUCAGCAGUUUCAAGGUCUGUGGGCUCGCUGGGUGCUGGCUCUGUGGGCGCAGUCGGUGCUUGUUCAGCUUCCUCAUCAGGUACUGGUUCUGUGGGCUCAGCAGUUGCAAGGUCUGUGGUCUCACUUGACCCUGGCUCAGUGGGCACAGUUGUUCCUGGUUCCGUGGGCCCGCUCAGGACUGGCUCUGUGGACUUAGUUGUUCCUGGUCUGGCAGCUUGGUCAGAUGUUAACACUGCUGCCUCUUCCUCAACCAUUAAAGCCUCCAAUGGUUCAGAACCGGUGGUUUCAGCAGAACCAAUGGUAACUUCUGGAGCUGUCUCGGCAGAAACUUCCUCCACCAAAGCCACAGUCUCUGUCAGCAUAGCUACAAACUCCGGUUCCUUCUGUGUGGCCUCAUUCAAGGGUUGGUCGAUGGAAGCGUCCUCUAGUGGGGUCUCUAUGGGACCAGCAUCUUCCUGGGGGAGGGUCUCCACAGCCUCUUCAGAAGCCUCAAGUUCAGCACAGAUUUCAGCUGGAUCAACAGGGGCAACAUCUUCCAUCCAAGGAUCUUUGUCUUCAUGGAAACAGAGAUCCUCCUGGGCCUCCGUGGCUAAUAAUACAUCCUGCGUUUCAUUAUCAGUCACUGGUUGGAGAUCUUCUGGUAAGGCAGUCUGA
This is a long non-coding RNA of Takifugu rubripes (torafugu), 1776 nucleotides long. The record is from Ensembl. Lineage: Eukaryota; Metazoa; Chordata; Actinopteri; Tetraodontiformes; Tetraodontidae.